AUGAACGCUGGCGGCGUGCCUAAUACAUGCAAGUCGAGCGAACGGACGAGAAGCUUGCUUCUCUGAUGUUAGCGGCGGACGGGUGAGUAACACGUGGAUAACCUACCUAUAAGACUGGGAUAACUUCGGGAAACCGGAGCUAAUACCGGAUAAUAUUUUGAACCGCAUGGUUCAAAAGUGAAAGACGGUCUUGCUGUCACUUAUAGAUGGAUCCGCGCUGCAUUAGCUAGUUGGUAAGGUAACGGCUUACCAAGGCAACGAUGCAUAGCCGACCUGAGAGGGUGAUCGGCCACACUGGAACUGAGACACGGUCCAGACUCCUACGGGAGGCAGCAGUAGGGAAUCUUCCGCAAUGGGCGAAAGCCUGACGGAGCAACGCCGCGUGAGUGAUGAAGGUCUUCGGAUCGUAAAACUCUGUUAUCAGGGAAGAACAUAUGUGUAAGUAACUGUGCACAUCUUGACGGUACCUAAUCAGAAAGCCACGGCUAACUACGUG
This 496-nucleotide ribosomal RNA is filed under the name uncultured bacterium. RNAcentral describes it as "partial 16S ribosomal RNA". It matches the Rfam family "Bacterial small subunit ribosomal RNA", at positions 29 to 507 of the family's 1533-position model. The record is from RNAcentral.